RNAcentral lists this ribosomal RNA (588 nucleotides) under Triticum aestivum (bread wheat). Its description in RNAcentral is "partial small subunit ribosomal RNA". The record is from RNAcentral. Lineage: Eukaryota; Viridiplantae; Streptophyta; Magnoliopsida; Poales; Poaceae.
AUGAACUGCCUGCUCUGGUUCUUUUACGGGCUCCCCAUCGUCCACCCCAACAGCACCCUCGUCCUCACCAUCAACGGCAUCGGCCUUGUCAUUGAGGGCGCCUACAUCAUCAUCUUCAUCAUCUAUGCGGCUAAGAACACAAGGUGGAAGAUGCUGGGCGUGCUCGCCCUCGAGGCGGCGUUCGUGGCUGCCGUGGUGGCCGGCGUGCUCCUCGGUGCCCACACCCAUGAGAAGCGCUCCAUGAUCGUAGGCAUCCUCUGCGUCAUCUUCGGCUCCAUCAUGUACGCCUCCCCGCUCACCAUCAUGGGUAAAGUGAUCAGGACCAAGAGUGUGGAGUACAUGCCAUUUUUCCUAUCGCUGGUGAACUUCCUCAAUGGCUGCUGCUGGAUGGGCUAUGCGCUCAUCAAGUUUGACAUCUACAUCACGAUCCCCAAUGCCCUCGGUACAAUCUUCGGCCUCAUCCAGCUGAUCUUGUACUUUUACUACUACAGAUCGACCCCCAAGAAGGGCAAGAACGUCGAAUUGCCCACUGUCCUCACCAUAAACGCCGUUACCAGCGGCAACGUCUCCGUCACCAUCGAAAAUUAA